AAAAACAGCUUCUUUAGAAUGAAAGGGAAAUGCUCCACGUAUUUGAUUUUCGUCAAAGCCCAAAAUGCAGAAGUCUUGUGCAAUUGGACAUCUUUUACAGGGAUAGGAGAGGAAAAUGGACAGUUUGACUAGUUUGUUAUUGGUGUUAAGAAAAAGGUGAAAAAAAAUGGGUUCAUAUGCAUUUCUUUGAUGCUAUAUCCAAUGCACUAACUUGCAUUGUUAAUGUACAUAACAGGAAUGAGGCAAACAAUAUUAC
This 256-nucleotide unclassified non-coding RNA is filed under the name Hevea brasiliensis (rubber tree). The record is from RNAcentral. Lineage: Eukaryota; Viridiplantae; Streptophyta; Magnoliopsida; Malpighiales; Euphorbiaceae.